GCCAGACUCCUACGGGAGGCAGCAGUGGGGAAUAUUGGGCAAUGGGCGCAAGCCUGACCCAGCAACGCCGCGUGAAGGAAGAAGGCUUUCGGGUUGUAAACUUCUUUUCUGAGGGACGAAGAAAGUGACGGUACCUCAGGAAUAAGCCACGGCUAACUACGUGCCAGCAGCCGCGGUAAUACGUAGGGGGCAAGCAUUAUCCGGAUUUACUGGGUGUAAAGGGGGCGCAGACGGCAGCGCAAGCCAGGAGUGAAAGCCCGGGGCCCAACCCCGGGACUGCUCUUGGAACUGCGCGGCUGGAGUGCAGGAGGGGCAGGCGGAAUUCCUGGUGUAGCGGUGAAAUGCGUAGAUAUCAGGAGGAACACCGGUGGCGAAGGCGGCCUGCUGGACUGCGACUGACGUUGAGGCCCGAAAGCGUGGGGAGCAAACAGGAUUAGAUACCCUAGUA
This 448-nucleotide ribosomal RNA is filed under the name uncultured bacterium. RNAcentral describes it as "partial 16S ribosomal RNA". It matches the Rfam family "Bacterial small subunit ribosomal RNA", at positions 330 to 792 of the family's 1533-position model. The record is from RNAcentral.